RNAcentral lists this ribosomal RNA (164 nucleotides) under uncultured bacterium. RNAcentral's name for it is "partial 16S rRNA". It matches the Rfam family "Bacterial small subunit ribosomal RNA", at positions 355 to 511 of the family's 1533-position model. The record is from RNAcentral.
UAGGGAAUCUUCCACAAUGGGCGAAAGCCUGAUGGAGCAACGCCGCGUGUGUGAUGAAGGGUUUCGGCUCGUAAAACACUGUUGUUAAAGAAGAACACGUAUGAGAGUAACUGUUCAUACGUUGACGGUAUUUAACCAGAAAGCCACGGCUAACUACGUGCCAC